RNAcentral lists this ribosomal RNA (231 nucleotides) under uncultured bacterium. RNAcentral's name for it is "partial 16S ribosomal RNA". It matches the Rfam family "Bacterial small subunit ribosomal RNA", at positions 109 to 334 of the family's 1533-position model. The record is from RNAcentral.
AGUAGCACGUGGGUAACCUGCCUAAAAGAAGGGGAUAACACUUGGAAACAGGUGCUAAUACCGUAUAUCUCUAAAGAUCGCAUGAUCUUUAGAUGAAAGAUGGUUCUGCUAUCGCUUUUAGAUGGACCCGCGGCGUAUUAACUAGUUGGUGGGGUAACGGCCUACCAAGGUGAUGAUACGUAGCCGAACUGAGAGGUUGAUCGGCCACAUUGGGACUGAGACACGGCCCAA